This 775-nucleotide ribosomal RNA is filed under the name uncultured Arthrobacter sp. RNAcentral's name for it is "bacterial SSU rRNA". It matches the Rfam family "Bacterial small subunit ribosomal RNA", at positions 8 to 796 of the family's 1533-position model. Lineage: Bacteria; Bacillati; Actinomycetota; Actinomycetes; Micrococcales; Micrococcaceae. The record is from RNAcentral.
AGAGUUUGAUCCUGGCUCAGGAUGAACGCUGGCGGCGUGCUUAACACAUGCAAGUCGAACGAUGAUCCCAGCUUGCUGGGGGAUUAGUGGCGAACGGGUGAGUAACACGUGAGUAACCUGCCCUUAACUCUGGGAUAAGCCUGGGAAACUGGGUCUAAUACCGGAUAUGACUCCUCAUCGCAUGGUGGGGGGUGGAAAGCUUUAUUGUGGUUUUGGAUGGACUCGCGGCCUAUCAGCUUGUUGGUGAGGUAAUGGCUCACCAAGGCGACGACGGGUAGCCGGCCUGAGAGGGUGACCGGCCACACUGGGACUGAGACACGGCCCAGACUCCUACGAGAGGCAGCAGUGGGGAAUAUUGCACAAUGGGCGAAAGCCUGAUGCAGCGACGCCGCGUGAGGGAUGACGGCCUUCGGGUUGUAAACCUCUUUCAGUAGGGAAGAAGCGAAAGUGACGGUACCUGCAGAAGAAGCGCCGGCUAACUACGUGCCAGCAGCCGCGGUAAUACGUAGGGCGCAAGCGUUAUCCGGAAUUAUUGGGCGUAAAGAGCUCGUAGGCGGUUUGUCGCGUCUGCCGUGAAAGUCCGGGGCUCAACUCCGGAUCUGCGGUGGGUACGGGCAGACUAGAGUGAUGUAGGGGAGACUGGAAUUCCUGGUGUAGCGGUGAAAUGCGCAGAUAUCAGGAGGAACACCGAUGGCGAAGGCAGGUCUCUGGGCAUUAACUGACGCUGAGGAGCGAAAGCAUGGGGAGCGAACAGGAUUAGAUACCCCAGUAGUCC